This 261-nucleotide ribosomal RNA is filed under the name uncultured bacterium. RNAcentral's name for it is "partial 16S ribosomal RNA". It matches the Rfam family "Bacterial small subunit ribosomal RNA", at positions 793 to 1055 of the family's 1533-position model. The record is from RNAcentral.
GUCCACGCCAUAACGAUGACAACUAGACGUUGGGACAUAUGGUCCACAGUGUCGCAGCUAACGCGUUAAGUUGUCCGCCUGGGGAGUACGGCCGCAAGGUUGAAACUCAAAGGAAUUGACGGGACCCGGCACAAGCGGUGGAGCAUGUGGUUUAAUUCGAUGCAACGCGAAGAACCUUACCUGGUCUUGACAUGUCUGGAAUCCCGAAGAGAUUUGGGAGUGCCGCAAGGAACCAGAACACAGGUGCUGCAUGGCUGUCGU